CCUAAUGAAUAUAUUCUUGAAUUAUGCAGAAACUGGAAGAUCUCAGGUAUUUUAGGAGUCAAUUAUUCUGAGGCGGAGGCAGUGAAAGCAGUAAUUUUAUUUUGCAUUAAUCUAAUUUUAAGAAAACUAAGCUAAACCAUGAAGCCCUGAUUUUACUCUCCCCAGUACAACAGGUGGCAGUAUGCAGCUGUACUCUGCUCUGUAACUCAACACACAACUAGAAGAAAAGGUUAUCCAGUUUCUUCUAGAGUUUCUGCUGGAGAUCAAACUCUUCAUACCCAUCAUGGAGGAUAAACACACUUCUGACGAUCAGGAUUUGUUUGCAGCAUGCAGCUCGGUUAACCAGAGGAGAACAGAAGCAGACCCCAGUUGUGUGUCUAUGAAGAGUGACUGGUCUAUGGAUGAACCAAUACAUUUUAGGAGUAAAAACAAACGACC
Non-coding RNA from Danio rerio (zebrafish), 438 nucleotides. Lineage: Eukaryota; Metazoa; Chordata; Actinopteri; Cypriniformes; Danionidae. The record is from RefSeq and is a predicted model, not a curated record.